AUGGAGGUGAAGACCCUCAUUCAGCUCCUGGGGCUUCUGCUGUCCUGGUUUCCAGGGACCAGAGGUGACAUCUAGAUGACCCAGUCUCCGUCCACACUGUCCGCAUCUGUAGGAGACAGUGUCACCAUCACUUGCCAUGUGAGUCACAGCAUUGGCAGUAAUUUAGGCUGGUAUCAGCAGAAACCACGGAAGGCCCCUAAGGGCCUGAUCUAUGCUGCAUCCAGUUUGCAACCUGGGGCUCCUUCGUGGUUCAGUGGCAGUGGAUCUGGGACAGAUUUUACUCUCACCAUCAGAAUCCUGCAGCCUGAAGAUGUUGCAACUUAUUACUGUCAACAGUAUAAAAAUUACCCUAUCACAGUGUUACAAACCAUAACAACCCCGCCCCCCCAGGAAAGCAGACAUGUGACGCUGGGCUGCCCCACCUGUUCUUCUUUGUGCAGCCAUCUGGUGACAACACUUCUGAGACUCAGCCUGAGUUUUGAGAGUUAUUGGGAGAUUAUGGAAGAGGAGGCCGUGAAGGUGUCUCUCCACCCUAAGUCUCUCCUCUCAUGGCAAUGUCUCUUCGUAUUUAAUCUCUCCUUCAUUUACUCCAGUACUUGGAAGUAUGUCCUGGCCUUAAAUUCCCGGGCCACAUUUCCGCAGCUGCUGAAGCUAACAUUGUCAUCUGGAAAAUUAGAAAUUUGA
Molecule: RNA transcript, 684 nt
Organism: Nomascus leucogenys (northern white-cheeked gibbon)
Lineage: Eukaryota; Metazoa; Chordata; Mammalia; Primates; Hylobatidae
Gene name: immunoglobulin kappa variable 1D-16-like
Exons: 3
Source: RefSeq, a predicted model, not a curated record